GAACGCGAAGAACCUUACCAGGUCUUGACAUUGAUGGACAGAACCAGAGAUGGUUCCUCUUCUUCGGAAGCCAGAAAACAGGUGGUGCACGGUUGUCGUCAGCUCGUGUCGUGAGAUGUUGGGUUAAGUCCCGCAACGAGCGCAACCCCUAUCUUAUGUUGCCAGCACUUCGGGUGGGAACUCAUGAGAGACUGCCGCAGACAAUGCGGAGGAAGGCGGGGAUGACGUCAAAUCAUCAUGCCCCUUAUGACCUGGGCUACACACGUACUACAAUGGGAGUUAAUAGACGGAAGCAAUACCGCGAGGUGGAGCAAACCCGAGAAACACUCUCUCAGUUCGGAUCGUAGGCUGCAACUCGCCUACGUGAAGUCGGAAUCGCUAGUAAUCGCAGGUCAGCAUACUGCGGUGAAUACGUUCCCGGGUCUUGUACACACC
This 435-nucleotide ribosomal RNA is filed under the name uncultured bacterium. Its description in RNAcentral is "bacterial SSU rRNA". It matches the Rfam family "Bacterial small subunit ribosomal RNA", at positions 957 to 1391 of the family's 1533-position model. The record is from RNAcentral.